This 252-nucleotide ribosomal RNA is filed under the name uncultured bacterium. Its description in RNAcentral is "partial 16S ribosomal RNA". It matches the Rfam family "Bacterial small subunit ribosomal RNA", at positions 524 to 776 of the family's 1533-position model. The record is from RNAcentral.
UACGGAGGAUGCGAGCGUUAUCCGGAUUUAUUGGGUUUAAAGGGUGCGUAGGCGGGCUUUUAAGUCAGCGGUAAAAAUUCGGGGCCCAACCCCGUCCGGCCGUUGAAACUGGGGGUCUUGAGUGGGCGAGAAGAAGGCGGAAUGCGUGGUGUAGCGGUGAAAUGCAUAGAUAUCACGCAGAACCCCGAUUGCGAAGGCAGCCUUCCGGCGCCCUACUGACGCUGAGGCACGAAAGUGCGGGGAUCGAACAGG